AGUGUUAUUUUAUUUAACAUAAAAACGUUUAUUAGUAUAAAACUGUUUAUUUUCCUAAUGAACAGUGAAACCAUUGAUUUCCUUUUUGCUUUCCCUGGCUCAAUUCGCUCUUCUUAGCUCCGUUUCAUUUUCUCCCUCGUCACGUUUUUCCUUCUUCGCUUUCCUUGGCUCAAUUCGCUCACACUCAUUCUCCAGUUCUUGGGCUUGGAUGGUGUAGGUUGAAGUUGGAUUCUUUUAGAUGAGACCAAAUUUUAGGUGAUCAGUUUGGUUUGCUUCAUUUCCAUCUAAAGUUCAUUUCUUUCACAUAUUUUUUAUGUGUUCAUGAUAUGAUUUUCUUAUUUGAUUUCUCAGUUUAUGUAUUGCAUUAUUAUUUUUUAUUAGCAUGAAUUUCCAACUAUUUCUAGAUUGAUUGCGAAAUUAUUGAGUGAAGAAAGCAAAAAUCAGAUAAUGAAAACCAAAAUCAGUUGAAGAUUCUUGCGAUGAUUCAUGCUAAGGUUUGGAUUUUUACAGCUUUGAAAUGGGUGUUUCACCCUAAUUUUCUCAAUGGUAUGAGUAUGACUCUUCGUUUUUUAUAAUUAAUUCUAAUUUAGUUUCUUUAGUUUUAGUUUUCGUUUUCAUUUCUUUGAUUUUUAUGUUGAUGUGAUUUUCGCAACUUUGAAGUGGGUGUAAAACCCUAAUUUCUCAAUGGUAUGACUCUUAAUUUUUUUUAUUAAUGUAAUAUUUCAUCUUCCUCGUUAUGCUCAGCAUUUUCCUGAUCACUUUCAUGGCCCCUCAAAGCCAAAUUUCUCUUUCUUGUUUUUUCAACUUUCUCCCAAUCCUUUUCCAUCUACCAUCCUGAUUUAUAAUCUCCAUGGUCAUGCAUAAACUUCAUGAAGAUCGCAUGUGUUCCCUUGACAUUUGAAUUUCAUUUUCUGGGUUCGUAAUUUUUUUUACUUAAAAUUGUAAAUGAUUAAUGUGAAAUUAGUAGGAACCUAAGAUACUAUAGCCAACUCUUGACCUUUUCCUCUACUUUGUUAUUGUUUCUGCUGCUGCUUAUGGUGGUGCGAGGUUGCUACUGAUUGCAAUUGGAUCAAAGAGUUGUUGUUUUGAAAAGCUUGAGAAAAUAAGGAGCAAUGUUUUGAGAGCUUGUACCAAAGAUGGUAUGGCUCUUAGUUUUUUUGCUCCCUCUAUUUUGAAUGACAUUGCUCGUGCUGUUGUGGAUAAGGCUAAGGUCGCUAACUUGAAAUUCAAAUGGCAAUUUUCAUGUGUUAUGUUUAUUGUUGGUUUCAAACCUACCUUAGCAACUUUCACCACGUUCAUUGAGGAUAAAUGGCCAUUUCUAGACAACCUUUCGGCCAUCCUUCAAUAAGACGGAUAUUUUCUAGUUAAUUGUGGUUCUAAAGAUGAUGUUAAUUCGAUUAUUAAGGGUGGGAAUGUUAUGAUUGGAAAAAGACCUGUGUUAAUCAGGUAAUUGGAAGAGCACUUUGAUUUUAAGCGUGAUAUUCGACAUGUCGUGUGUGUGGGUUUGGUUCUUGAAUCUUCCUACCAAAUUUUGGGGGCUAAAUCCUUAAGUAGAAUAGGUGGUUUAUUUGGGGUGCCUGUUAUUGCAGAUGAAUGUACUACUAAUCAACGCAGGGUGAGUUAUGCUCGGGUCUUGAUUGAGGUGGAUGUAUCUAAGCCUUUGCCUAAGGUUAUUCCGGUGGAAGAUAAGGAGGAUCAUGUUGAUGAUCAGGCGUUCUUUAUUAAGUGGGUGCCUUAUUUUUGUCAGAAAUGCCGGGCGUUAGGGCAUAUAUGUGAUGAGUAGUUAGAUCCCUAUGAAUAGACAGGCUAUAAAGGCUGUCAAAAAGAGUGCCACUAUUGUGCCUAAGCAGGGUACCGUUGAACAGACAGUGGGUACUAGUGUGGGUAAAGAGUUAUAGAGUGAAGGUAGUUGUGAUAUUCAACAGUCUCUUGGUGGGCUGAAUAUUUGUUUCCCAUUCUCUCUUGCCGUGAAUUUGCCCCUGUGAGGUUGAGGUGCUUUAUUGAACAGUUGUGCAAAGAGGAAGGCUUUCGAGGCUAGUACCUCUUAGUCUUCUAAGCUUUUGUAGGGUAUGGUUUUUGGCUUAGCUUUGGCUAUCAUUGUAUAGUUUGGUAGAAAGUUUUUUUCUUGUUAAAGUUUGUUUUUUUUGGUUUGGUUGGCUUUGGAUGAUAAAAAAGUUAAUUUUUUUUUUUGGCUAGUCGGCGCCUCCUUUUUGUGUUUAAGGGUUAUUUUUUCCUUUUAUAGCCUAAGCUACAAAAAAGUUUUGUUUUUGAAGUUAAUAUAUUCCUAUUAAUUGCCAAAAGAAUCCUCAAUUGUACGGAAAGUGUUGCAUUUUUUAAGAUCUUAUAUUGCUCUUUAACAAAAAUUUCGCAAUAUUGUAAUUAUAUGUGUUGUGACAAUACUACAGGAAGUUUAUCGUAAUUAUAUAUAUUCUACAAAGAUUUCUUAAUAUUG
RNA transcript from Amaranthus tricolor (Joseph's coat), 2452 nucleotides. RefSeq lists it as uncharacterized. The transcript is spliced from 3 exons. The record is from RefSeq and is a predicted model, not a curated record. NCBI's taxonomy places the organism in Eukaryota, Viridiplantae, Streptophyta, Magnoliopsida, Caryophyllales, Amaranthaceae.